Molecule: transfer RNA, 69 nt
Filed under: Cyrtanaspis phalerata
Lineage: Eukaryota; Metazoa; Arthropoda; Insecta; Coleoptera; Scraptiidae
Description: tRNA-Gln
Source: RNAcentral
UAUAUUUGAGUAUUUGAGGUAUAGAAAUUUUUGAUAUUUCUGGAAAUAGUUUGAUUCUAUUAAAUAUAA